UACAGAGGUCUCAAGCGUUGUUCGGAUUCAUUGGGCGUAAAGGGUGUGUAGGUGGCGCGCUAAGUCGGGUGUGAAAUUUCGGAGCUUAACUCCGAAACUGCAUUCGAUACUGGCGUGCUUGAGGACUGGAGAGGAGACUGGAAUUCACGGUGUAGCGGUGAAAUGCGUAGAUAUCAAGUGGAACACCAGUGGCGAAGGCGAGUCUCUGGACAUUUCCUGACGCUGAGGCACGAAAGCCAGGGGAGCAAACGGG
Molecule: ribosomal RNA, 253 nt
Filed under: uncultured bacterium
Lineage: Bacteria
Description: partial 16S ribosomal RNA
Rfam family: Bacterial small subunit ribosomal RNA
Source: RNAcentral